Molecule: long non-coding RNA, 764 nt
Filed under: Crocodylus porosus (Australian saltwater crocodile)
Lineage: Eukaryota; Metazoa; Chordata; Crocodylia; Crocodylidae
Description: lncRNA (ENSCPRG00005000456.1)
Source: RNAcentral
CUGAAACAAAGGGCUAAAAAUAGAGCGGGAAUGGGGCAAUCCAGGGCUGCGCUGUGACGCUCCUCGCCCGGCAUACGGCGGCCGGCAGGGGCCCAGUUUUUUUCUCAGUAGGGUCAAGGCAAGCGGUGAUUCUUAGGAGGAGAGAACCACGCUCCUCCCCCCCCCCCCCCCCCGGGCCGCUUCCUCAGCGAACUCUCAGUGAGCCUGCGCGGGAGGCGGUUCUUUUUAUAACCGUGCCCGGGAGAAUGAGGCUACUUUGGGAAUAGUCCCCAGCAUGUUUUCUGAGAGACCCUUUUAGCCCGCCAGUCCAUAUUAUUGAGUCUGCUCCUAGGCAGAUGCCUCCUAGCUCCGUGCUACGUUCCUGUGCUGUAGGGGCCCUUUCCAGGAUAGGUGGCUGUGGUGUGGACAAUGAAACCAACUCACCUCAAAAGCCCAGGACUAAGAUCACCAUGACCGAAGGUUUGUGAGGAUCAAACCAAAAUGUGACCUUUCGUUGAAUGAGCUGCUGGUUCAAUGGCCUGACAUCAAUUUACUGAUCUUUCAUAGUCUUGUUUCUCUGAGAGGAGCUGGAGACUUCUGUUUGUGAGGUAUAUAGCUAAUCCAAAGAAAAUCAGUUUUAAACUUUGUUUUGUUUUCAUCUCAAACAGAUUUCAGAAUAUAUUACUUUAACAGAUUUUUGUCUUGGUGCCAGUAAGUGAAAAGUUAUUAAUAAGUUUAGUUACAAGAUUAGCUUUAAAUGACUAUAUUGUAGAAAUUAGAGCUGG